GGCGUGGGUCUGCUAAAUAGGCUUUUGUAGUUUGUAGUCUAGCAGACCCAU
This 51-nucleotide small RNA is filed under the name Caenorhabditis elegans. RNAcentral's name for it is "Unclassified non-coding RNA Y51H7C.31". The record is from RNAcentral. Lineage: Eukaryota; Metazoa; Nematoda; Chromadorea; Rhabditida; Rhabditidae.